RNAcentral lists this ribosomal RNA (514 nucleotides) under uncultured bacterium. RNAcentral's name for it is "bacterial SSU rRNA". It matches the Rfam family "Bacterial small subunit ribosomal RNA", at positions 791 to 1310 of the family's 1533-position model. The record is from RNAcentral.
UAGUCCACGCUGUAAACGAUGGUUACUAGCUGUUUGGACUUCGGUCUGAGUGGCUAAGCGAAAGUGAUAAGUAACCCACCUGGGGAGUACGUUCGCAAGAAUGAAACUCAAAGGAAUUGACGGGGGCCCGCACAAGCGGUGGAGCAUGUGGUUUAAUUCGAUGAUACGCGAGGAACCUUACCAGGGCUUAAAUGUAGAUUGACAGGUUUAGAGAUAGACUUUUCUUCGGACAAUUUACAAGGUGCUGCAUGGUUGUCGUCAGCUCGUGCCGUGAGGUGUCAGGUUAAGUCCUAUAACGAGCGCAACCCCUGUUGUUAGUUGCCAGCGAGUCAAGUCGGGAACUCUAACAAGACUGCCAGUGCAAACUGCGAGGAAGGUGGGGAUGACGUCAAGUCAUCAUGGCCUUUAUGCCCAGGGCUACACACGUGCUACAAUGGACAGGACAAAGGGUCGCCAAACCGCGAGGUGGAGCUAAUCCCAGAAACCUGUUCUCAGUUCGGAUUGAAGUCUGCAA